Molecule: small nuclear RNA, 149 nt
Organism: Bos mutus (wild yak)
Lineage: Eukaryota; Metazoa; Chordata; Mammalia; Artiodactyla; Bovidae
Gene: U4
Rfam family: U4 spliceosomal RNA
About the family: U4 small nuclear RNA (U4 snRNA) is a component of the major U2-dependent spliceosome. The structure of U4 snRNA from yeast and human has been reported. U4 snRNA presents a k-turn RNA motif in the 5p-SL related to recognition of Snu13 protein.
Source: Ensembl
AGCUUUGUGCAGUGGCAGUAUCGAAGCCAAUGAGGUUUAUCCAAGGCGCGAUUAUUGCUAAUUAUUGCUAAUUGAAAACAGAUCAAUAGCACAUAGGUCAUACACAAUAAAUGGAAGGGAAGACAAAGCCGCAUAGCAUACUGAUUUCC